CCAGACUCCUACGGGAGGCAGCAGUGAGGAAUAUUGGUCAAUGGGCGCGAGCCUGAACCAGCCAAGUCGCGUGAGGGAUGACGGCCCUACGGGUUGUAAACCUCUUUUGUCGGGGAGCAAAUUCCGUUACGUGUAACGGAGUCGAGAGUACCCGAAGAAAAAGCAUCGGCUAACUCCGUGCCAGCAGCCGCGGUAAUACGGAGGAUGCGAGCGUUAUCCGGAUUUAUUGGGUUUAAAGGGUGCGUAGGCGGCAUUAUAAGUUAGUGGUAAAAUAUUGGGGCUUCACCUCACUACGCCAUUAAUACUGUAGAGCUAGAGAACAGACGAGGUAGGCGGAAUAAGUUAAGUAGCGGUGAAAUGCAUAGAUAUAACUUAGAACACCGAUAGCGAAGGCAGCUUACCAGACUGAGUCUGACGCUGAUGCACGAGAGCAUGGGUAGCGAACAGGAUUAGAUACCCCGGUAU
Molecule: ribosomal RNA, 465 nt
Filed under: uncultured bacterium
Lineage: Bacteria
Description: bacterial SSU rRNA
Rfam family: Bacterial small subunit ribosomal RNA
Source: RNAcentral